GUGCCAGCCGCCGCGGUAAUACGGAGGGUGCAAACGUUGCUCGGAAUCAUUGGGCGUAAAGCGCACGUAGGCGGUUCGUUAAGUCGGAUGUGAAAGCCCCAGGCUCAACUUGGGAAGUGCAUUCGAAACUGGCGAGCUUGAAUAUGGAAGAGGGUCGCGGAAUUCCCGGUGUAGAGGUGAAAUUCGUAGAUAUCGGGAGGAACACCAGUGGCGAAGGCGGCGACCUGGGCCAAUAUUGACGCUGAGGUGCGAAAGCGUGGGGAGCAAACAGGAUUAGAAACCCCCGUAGUCC
RNAcentral lists this ribosomal RNA (292 nucleotides) under uncultured bacterium. Its description in RNAcentral is "partial 16S ribosomal RNA". It matches the Rfam family "Bacterial small subunit ribosomal RNA", at positions 505 to 796 of the family's 1533-position model. The record is from RNAcentral.